UACGGGGGGGGCAAGCGUUGUUCGGAAUUACUGGGCGUAAAGGGCUCGUAGGUGGCCAACUAAGUCAGACGUGAAAUCCCCAGGCUUAACCUGGGAACUGCGUCUGAUACUGGAUGGCUUGAAUUCGGGAGAGGGAUGCAGAAUUCCAGGUGUAGCGGUGAAAUGCGUAGAUAUUGGGAGGAACACCGGUGGCGAAGGCGGCUACCUGGACCGGUUCUGACACUGAGGAGCGAAAGCCAGGGGAGCAAACAGG
Molecule: ribosomal RNA, 253 nt
Filed under: uncultured bacterium
Lineage: Bacteria
Description: partial 16S ribosomal RNA
Rfam family: Bacterial small subunit ribosomal RNA
Source: RNAcentral